RNAcentral lists this ribosomal RNA (732 nucleotides) under uncultured archaeon. RNAcentral's name for it is "bacterial SSU rRNA". It matches the Rfam family "Archaeal small subunit ribosomal RNA", at positions 137 to 874 of the family's 1478-position model. The record is from RNAcentral.
GAACUGGGUAUAUACUCCAUAGUUUGUGUUGACUGGAAUGUUACGCAAACGAAAGAUCCGGCGCCUUAGGAUGAGUCUGCGGCCGAUUAGGUAGUUGUUGGGGUAACGGCCCAACAAGCCUGUCAUCGGUACGGGUUGUGGGAGCAAGAGCCCGGAGAUGGAUUCUGAGACACGAAUCCAGGCCCUACGGGGUGCAGCAGGCGCGAAAACUUUACCAUGCUGGCAACCGCGAUAAGGAAACCUCGAGUGCCAGGUUCAAAUCUGGCUGUCGAGAUGCCUAAAAAACUUGCAAAGAAAGGGCCGGGCAAGACCGGUGCCAGCCGCCGCGGUAAUACCGGCGGCUCGAGUGGUGGCCGCUAUUACUGGGUCUAAAGGGUCCGUAGCCGGCCGGAUAAGUCCCUUGAGAAAUCCGCCGGCUUAACUGGCGGGCGUUCAGGGGAUACUGUCUGGCUAGGGACCGGGAGAGGUGAGAGGUACUGCCGGGGUAGGGGUGAAAUCCUGUAAUCCUUGAAGGACCACCAGUGGCGAAGGCGUCUCACCAGAACGGGCCCGACAGUGAGGGACGAAAGCUGGGGGAGCAAACCGGAUUAGAUACCCGGGUAGUCCCAGCCGUAAACGAUGCGCGUUAGGUGUGGCCACGGUGCGACCGUUGUCGGUGCCGUAGGGAAGCCGUGAAGCGCGCCACCUGGGGAGUACGGUCGCAAGGCUGAAACUUAAAGGAAUUGGCGGGGG